UCUGAUUGCAACUGCAGCUGCUGCUGAUGAAUUAAUUGCAACGCUGUCGUUUCCACAUUACUGUGGCUAUUAAGACGUUCCAUUCCGUCACUUAUUUUAUCGACAAAAUAAUCAGCCACAUCUCUCGUUUUCUGCAGCUACCUACAGUAAGUAGGGACAAGAGUCGCGUUGUGUUAAAUCGAAUCGAUUAAACAAAACCUGAACAUAUUACAGGCAAUUAUUAAAACAAUAAAUUGCGCUAAUAACUUUGUGUUGUCUUUAAUCUGCAUAACUAUCCCUACCUGUAUGUAAAUUUGAAAUGACACUGGUCACGUGUAUUAUUAUUAAGUUAUAAAACGGCAGAACAUUUUUUGUGUGCCACUCUGAUACUAGUCGAGCUGAUCAUGAAAAUUGUAGUACUGUUGUCGGGAGUGUUGGUGGCCCUUCUAGGACUGGCGGCGGCCGUCUAUGCUCCCCCAGGGCACAUGCUAGGACUGGCGCCACCCGUCAGUGCUCCCCCAGGGCACCUUCUACAAUCUGAACUAUGCGGAUGUCCACCAACAAAGGAAUUUUGCUCCAGCUACGACCAUAAGACUUAUCACAGCAUGUGCGAGUUUGAGUGCGUACACGGACCUGGAUUAACGGGCUGGACAGUACUCAACUACGGGCCGUGCAAGUCACGCUAACGGGGUUGAAAAUGAAAGCACUAACGUAACAGAUUUUUUUUGGUAGCAGAAAAGCAACAUUUUUAAAUGCUGUUCUUACAUAAAAUACGAAUAACAAGAUGUCUUAAUAUUACUUAUGCUCAUUUGGAAGUAAAAAAAUAAAAAACACCUUCUUCUUCAAUCUUUUCGCACCAGAUUGGAGUCGCAAAUAUGUUGUCAGAAAUGUUUUGUUUAAAUUUAGGUAAAAUAUAGGCUUAGGGAAGUUUUUAACUGUUCCUACAUACUAUGUAUUUGUGUUGCCGUUACUACCUAGCUACUCAAAGAGUUUACGAUUAAAAAGUUAAAAUACGUA
This is a long non-coding RNA of Cydia splendana, 996 nucleotides long. RefSeq lists it as uncharacterized. The transcript has 2 exons. Lineage: Eukaryota; Metazoa; Arthropoda; Insecta; Lepidoptera; Tortricidae. The record is from RefSeq and is a predicted model, not a curated record.